UGGGGAAUUUUGGACAAUGGGCGAAAGCCUGAUCCAGCAAUGCCGCGUGUGUGAAGAAGGCCUUCGGGUUGUAAAGCACUUUUGUCCGGAAAGAAAUCCUUGGCUCUAAUACAGUCGGGGGAUGACGGUACCGGAAGAAUAAGCACCGGCUAACUACGUGCCAGCAGCCGCGGUAAUACGUAGGGUGCAAGCGUUAAUCGGAAUUACUGGGCGUAAAGCGUGCGCAGGCGGUUUGCUAAGACCGAUGUGAAAUCCCCGGGCUCAACCUGGGAACUGCAUUGGUGACUGGCAGGCUAGAGUAUGGCAGAGGGGGGUAGAAUUCCACGUGUAGCAGUGAAAUGCGUAGAGAUGUGGAGGAAUACCGAUGGCGAAGGCAGCCCCUGGGCCAAUACUGACGCUCAUGCACGAAAGCGUGGGGAGCAAACAGGAUUAGAUACCCUGGUAGUCCACGCCCUAAACGAUGUCAACUAGUUGUUGGGGAUUCAUUUCCUUAGUAACGUAGCUAACGCGUGAAGUUGACCGCCUGGGGAGUACGGUCGCAAGAUUAAAACUUAAAGGAAUUGACGGGGUCAUAGCUGUUUCCU
Molecule: ribosomal RNA, 584 nt
Filed under: uncultured bacterium
Lineage: Bacteria
Description: partial 16S ribosomal RNA
Rfam family: Bacterial small subunit ribosomal RNA
Source: RNAcentral